RNAcentral lists this ribosomal RNA (508 nucleotides) under uncultured Bacillus sp. RNAcentral describes it as "bacterial SSU rRNA". It matches the Rfam family "Bacterial small subunit ribosomal RNA", at positions 9 to 496 of the family's 1533-position model. The record is from RNAcentral. Lineage: Bacteria; Bacillati; Bacillota; Bacilli; Caryophanales; Bacillaceae.
GAGUUUGAUCGUGGCUCAGGACGAACGCUGGCGGCGUGCCUAAUACAUGCAAGUCGAGCGAACUAACAGGAGCUUGCUCCUGUUAGUUAGCGGCGGACGGGUGAGUAACACGUGGGCAACCUGCCUGUAAGACUGGGAUAACUUCGGGAAACCGGAGCUAAUACCGGAUAAUCCUUUCCCUCUCAUGAGGGAAAGCUGAAAGAUGGUCUUUUGGCUAUCACUUACAGAUGGGCCCGCGGCGCAUUAGCUAGUUGGUGAGGUAACGGCUCACCAAGGCAACGAUGCGUAGCCGACCUGAGAGGGUGAUCGGCCACACUGGGACUGAGACACGGCCCAGGACUCCUACGGGAGGCAGCAGUAGGGAAUCUUCCGCAAUGGACGAAAGUCUGACGGAGCAACGCCGCGUGAGUGAUGAAGGUUUUCGGAUCGGUAAAACUCUGUUGUCAGGGAAGAACAAGUAUCGGAGUAACUGCCGGUACCUUGACGGUACCUGACCAGAAAGCCACGG